AGCGAACGCUGGCGGCAGGCCUAACACAUGCAAGUCGAACGGAUCCUUCGGGAUUAGUGGCGGACGGGUGAGUAACACGUGGGAACGUGCCUUUUGGUUCGGAACAACUCAGGGAAACUUGAGCUAAUACCGAAUGUGCCCUUCGGGGGAAAGAUUUAUCGCCAUUAGAGCGGCCCGCGUCUGAUUAGCUAGUUGGUGAGGUAAAGGCUCACCAAGGCUACGAUCAGUAGCUGGUCUGAGAGGAUGAUCAGCCACAUUGGGACUGAGACACGGCCCAAACUCCUACGGGAGGCAGCAGUGGGGAAUCUUGCGCAAUGGGCGAAAGCCUGACGCAGCCAUGCCGCGUGAAUGAUGAAGGUCUUAGGAUUGUAAAAUUCUUUCACCGGGACGAUAAUAGACGGUACCCGGAGAAGAAGCCCCGGCUAACCUUCGUG
RNAcentral lists this ribosomal RNA (434 nucleotides) under uncultured bacterium. RNAcentral's name for it is "bacterial SSU rRNA". It matches the Rfam family "Bacterial small subunit ribosomal RNA", at positions 29 to 507 of the family's 1533-position model. The record is from RNAcentral.